This 72-nucleotide transfer RNA is filed under the name Pseudomonas phage phiK7A1. It matches the Rfam family "tRNA". From Rfam's summary of the family: Transfer RNA (tRNA) molecules are approximately 80 nucleotides in length. Their secondary structure includes four short double-helical elements and three loops (D, anti-codon, and T loops). Lineage: Duplodnaviria; Heunggongvirae; Uroviricota; Caudoviricetes; Vandenendeviridae. The record is from Rfam by way of RNAcentral.
AGGUGUGUGGUCCAAGGGAUGGGCAGCGGUCUUCUAAAUCGCUUUAUGUUGGUUCGAAUCCAAUCACACCUA